This 546-nucleotide ribosomal RNA is filed under the name uncultured archaeon. RNAcentral describes it as "bacterial SSU rRNA". It matches the Rfam family "Archaeal small subunit ribosomal RNA", at positions 331 to 879 of the family's 1478-position model. The record is from RNAcentral.
UGCAGCAGGCGCGAAAACUCCACACUGUACGGAAGUACGAUGGGGUUAUCUCGAGUGCAGCCCGAUAAGGGCUGCUUUUCCAUAGAGUAAUAUCCUGUGGGAAUAAGAGGGGGGCAAGACUGGUGUCAGCCGCCGCGGUAACACCAGCCCCUCGAGUGGUGGGGACUAUUAUUUGGCCUAAAGCGUCCGUAGCUGGCUGUAUCCGUCCCCCGUUAAAUCCAGCGUCCUAAGCGUUGGACUGCGGGUGAUACCAUACAGCUAGAGGGUGGGAUAGGUGAGCGGUAUUUCUGGGGUAGGGGCGAAAUCCUUUGAUCCCAGGAGGACCACCAGUGGCGAAGGCUGCUCACUAGAACACGCCUGACGGUCAGGGACGAAAGCUGGGGCAGCGAACCGGAUUAGAUACCCGGGUAGUCCCAGCUGUAAACGAUGCUAGCUAGGUGUUGGGUCGGCCACGUGCCGCCCCAGUGCCGCAGGGAAGCCGUUAAGCUAGCCGCCUGGGGAGUACGGCCGCAAGGCUGAAACUUAAAGGAAUUGGCGGGGGAGCAC